RNAcentral lists this long non-coding RNA (613 nucleotides) under Gossypium raimondii (Peruvian cotton). RNAcentral's name for it is "long non-coding RNA (GRAI_LNC010175)". The record is from RNAcentral. Lineage: Eukaryota; Viridiplantae; Streptophyta; Magnoliopsida; Malvales; Malvaceae.
UUGGGAGGAAGCUUGGGAAGCGGAGGGCACGGCUUCUUCGUAAAUGGAGGAAUCUUCGGAAGAGGAGGAAGUGGCUUGUGAGGAAUAGGAGGGAAGGGUUUCGGUUUGUAAAUAGGAACCGGCGGUGGAAGCGGCUUCUUAUAAACCGGCACCGGAUGAGGCUUAUAAACCGGUGGUUUGUAGACAGGAACCGGCGGUGGAAGCGGCUUCUUGUAGACCGGCACCGGAUGAGGCUUAUAAACCGGUGGUUUGUAGACAGGAACCGGCGGAGGGAGUGGUUUCUUGUAGACCGGCACCGGAUGAGGCUUAUAAACCGGUGGUGGAAGAGGUUUCUUGUAGAUGGGAGGGUGAGGGUAAUGAUGGUGGAAGUUUUUCAAUGGCGGAAGUGGUGGAAGCUUAGGCAAUGGAGGGAAGUUGUGGUGGUGGUGAGGCCAAAAGGAGGCUGAGACACAUGUUAUUGGUGAGAAUUUGAGGUUCUCUUUUAACCCAAACUGGUGUUUCUGGUCGGUGGUGGAUUUGAAAACUAGCUUAGAGGAUUCUAAGCCAUUAAUGGAAGGGCAAGGUUGAGGUGAUGAUACAGUGCGAAGCUGUGCGUAGCAAUGUUCAUUCAAUU